RNAcentral lists this ribosomal RNA (375 nucleotides) under uncultured bacterium. Its description in RNAcentral is "bacterial SSU rRNA". It matches the Rfam family "Bacterial small subunit ribosomal RNA", at positions 28 to 404 of the family's 1533-position model. The record is from RNAcentral.
GACGAACGCUGGCGGCGUGCUUAACACAUGCAAGUCGAGCGGUAAGGCCCUUUCGGGGGUACACGAGCGGCGAACGGGUGAGUAACACGUGGGUGACCUGCCCUCAGCUCUGGGAUAAGCCUGGGAAACCGGGUCUAAUACUGGAUAUGACUCCAUGACGCAUGUUGUGGGGUGGAAAGCCUUGUGCGGCUGAGGAUGGGCCCGCGGCCUAUCAGCUUGUUGGUGGGGCGANGGCCUACCAAGGCGACGACGGGUAGCCGGCCUGAGAGGGCGACCGGCCACACUGGGACUGAGACACGGCCCAGACUCCUACGGGAGGCAGCAGUGGGGAAUCUUGCGCAAUGGGCGAAAGCCUGACGCAGCGACGCCGCGUGA